RNAcentral lists this ribosomal RNA (460 nucleotides) under uncultured bacterium. Its description in RNAcentral is "partial 16S ribosomal RNA". It matches the Rfam family "Bacterial small subunit ribosomal RNA", at positions 338 to 795 of the family's 1533-position model. The record is from RNAcentral.
CCUACGGGUGGCUGCAGUGAGGAAUAUUGGUCAAUGGGCGAGAGCCUGAACCAGCCAAGUCGCGUGAAGGAUGAAGGAUCUAUGGUUUGUAAACUUCUUGUAUAUGGGAGUAAAGUGAGGCACGUGUUCCUUUUUGUCAGUACCAUAUGACUAAGCAUCGGCUAACUCCGUGCCAGCAGCCGCGGUAAUACGGAGGAUGCGAGCGUUAUACGGAUUUAUUGGGUAUAAAGGGUGCGUAGGUGGGUAAUUAAGUCAGCGGUGAAAGUUUGUGGCUCAACCAUAAAAGUGCCGUUGAAACUGGUUGACUUGAGUAUAUGAGAGGUACGCGGAAUGCGUGGUGUAGCGGUGAAAUGCAUAGAUAUCACGCAGAACUCCGAUUGCGAAGGCAGCUUACUAAACUAUAACUGACGCUGAAGCACGAAAGCGUGGGGAGCAAACAGGAUUAGAUACCCGGGUAGUC